GCAGACUCACUCUGCACCUGGCUGCAGCCCCAGGCGGGUGCUUUUUCCGUCUGCCAGAGUAACAUCCCAGGGUGCUGUGACCACCUUGACCUGUCAUGGGUGAUGCAGUUGUCUGGGGACACGGUG
This is a non-coding RNA of Felis catus (domestic cat), 126 nucleotides long. Lineage: Eukaryota; Metazoa; Chordata; Mammalia; Carnivora; Felidae. The record is from Rfam.